Molecule: ribosomal RNA, 392 nt
Filed under: uncultured Nitrospina sp.
Lineage: Bacteria; Pseudomonadati; Nitrospinota; Nitrospinia; Nitrospinales; Nitrospinaceae
Description: bacterial SSU rRNA
Rfam family: Bacterial small subunit ribosomal RNA
Source: RNAcentral
AACGAACGCUGGUGGCGUGCUUAACACAUGCAAGUCGAACGAGAACGUUUCCUUCGGGAAAUUAGUAAAGUGGCGCAAGGGUGAGUAACACGUGAAUAAUCUGCCCUCGAGAUCGGGAUAACAUGGUGAAAACUAUGCUAAUACCGGAUAAGACCACGUUUCGUAAGAAACGCGGGAAAAGAAGUCUCAAACUUCACUCGGGAUGAGUUCGCGCAACAUUAGCUUGUUGGUGAGAUAAAAAGCUCACCAAAGGCUACGAUGUUUAGCCGGCCUGAGAGGGUGAACGGCCACACUGGAACUGAGACACGGUCCAGACUCCUACGGGGAGGCAGCAGGUGGGGAAUAUUGCGCAAUGGGCGAAAGCCUGACGCAGCAACGCCGUGUGAGCGAUG